CCACGCCGUAAACGAUGAAUACUAGGUGUCGGGGAACAAUAGUUCUUCGGUGCCGCAGCAAACGCAUUAAGUAUUCCACCUGGGGAGUACGUUCGCAAGAAUGAAACUCAAAGGAAUUGACGGGGACCCGCACAAGCGGUGGAGCAUGUGGUUUAAUUCGAUGCAACGCGAAGAACCUUACCUGCUCUUGACAUCCCACUGACCGGACAGUAAUGUGUCCUGUUCUUCGGAACAGUGGUGACAGGUGGUGCAUGGUUGUCGUCAGCUCGUGUCGUGAGAUGUUGGGUUAAGUCCCGCAACGAGCGCAACCCUUGUCUUUAGUAGCCAGCAGUUCGGCUGGGCACUCUAGAGAGACUGCCAGGGAUAACCUGGAGGAAGGCGGGGAUGACGUCAAAUCAUCAUGCCCCUUACGAGCAGGGCUACACACGUGCUACAAUGGCGUAAACAAAGGGAAGCGACCCCGCGAGGGUAAGCAAAUCUCAAAAAUAACGUCUCAGUUCGGAUUGUAGUCUGCAACUCGACUACAUGAAGCUGGAAUCGCUAGUAAUCGCGAAUCAGAAUGUCGCGGUGAAUACGUUCCCGGGUCUUGUACACACCGCCCGUCACACCAUGGGAGUCGGAUAUGCCCGAAGUCAGUGACCCAACCAUAUGGAGGGAGCUGCCGAAGGUGGAGCCGAUAACUGGGGUGAAGUCGUAACAAGGUAGCCGUAUCGGAAGGUGCGGCUGGAUCACCUC
This 735-nucleotide ribosomal RNA is filed under the name uncultured bacterium. RNAcentral describes it as "bacterial SSU rRNA". It matches the Rfam family "Bacterial small subunit ribosomal RNA", at positions 795 to 1529 of the family's 1533-position model. The record is from RNAcentral.